UUCGACCCGUGGUCCGUUUUAGGGGCAAAAACACAUGCGCCCGAGCCAGGGAGCUCAGCUCUGCACCAGGCGCUCGCCCCGACCCCAUCUUCCUCCGCCGCCUCGCCGCACCGGCCGGCAUCACCGGAGAUCACCGCCACCGGGAACAGGUCACGUCGCCGCACCUGCCUUCUCCUUUCCCUCUUCAUCCUCCCUUCCUCUCACCAUCUCUCUCUCCCUCCCAUUGCAGCGCCGCCAUGGCUGUCCCGAGCUUUGCCGGCAGCCGCGCCGCGUGAAUCCGGCCGGAUCUAGCCGCCCUUGCCCAGAUCCGCAUCCUCCGCUCCGCCGCGCCCCGGAUUCGGCCACUACCAAGCCUCCCAUCCGCCGGCCUUCCCCUGCUCGACUCGGGUGGACGGGCGAAGUUUCUGACUUGCCAUUAUAGUUGACCUGAAGCUCCGUUGGUGAGGACCAUUGCCGCUGCUGUAGGUUAGGGAGAAGGCUCGAGGCAGCCACGAAUUCCGUCCUGCACUACUUCAACACCGACCUAUUCUAGCAUGAAUCUUCUGCCGUGAGGAUUUGAUGCAGCAAGGGCCAUUUGUUUGACAGAAACAGAGUGGUUACCGCAAGAGAGGUACAAAUCAAGGACCGAGGAGGGACGAGGGCGGAUUUGAUCUAAGUUGGGUCACUUUCUAUGAAUAGAUGAUGUGAUUGCUUUGUUAUUUUGUUUAAUUAAUAGAAAUAUUGAUGAGGCAAUUGGAAGAAUCAAGCAGGAAUUUUACUACAUAUCUGCGCCAUUGAUUUGGUCAUCUCUGUCACUAGCAAGUUGCAUAAGAAAGAGUGUGGUGUUGUAGAGGCGUGUAUAGUUGUGAGUCCCUCGAUUAUAAAGCGGAUCCAGGUGAAAGAUGUAGGUGGUGUGCGGAUUGAACUCUAGAUCGAGAACCUACAGUACUAGAUGGACGAUAACUAUGCUUACAAUUGUUGACCGAACACUGUGAGGUAUGUGCCUGUCCCUCUUCCACCCAUAUCAACAUGUAAUUUUGUAAGAAGCUAAUUUAGUGUAGCAAGAACAUCAUAUUUUAGAUACGGUCUGCAGAUCGAUGUACUUUGUCCGUCUUUCCUUCACCAAAGCAUGCGUUGUGAGAUCAUGAUUACUACCAGGUAGUACAACAUUGCAAUUUAUUUUCCAGAAUGUUCCUUGAACACACUCCCAAGUUCCCAACCAUCAGUAAUUAUAGUCUCCUCAAUUCAGAUGCAUAAUUACAUAAUAUUGUUAUACAUGCUGCUUAAGUUGAUCACCAUUAUGCUGUUAAUUGGACCUCAAGAAUAGAGAUGACACCUUACCAUAGGCAGCUCUUUAUUUUGUGCACGUUAACUCAAUUCUGAAAGUUGAUUCAAGUCUUUAGUGCUUGAAGUAGAUUCGUAGAAGCUACAAUUCUGUUAGUAUGUGAACAAAAAGCUUAUCUUAUAUGUGUGACCGGAGUUGCAGAAUAUGAAUAGGGGAAUGAUCAUAGAUGCCAACACCUACAGUAUGAUUUACCUUGAUAGAUGUGCAGUGGAUUCGUAAGUAGUUUUAGUGUUUUUUGUAGAUAGCUCAAGUACUUAAGCUUCUGCAAUCAUGAAAAACAAAACAAGGGACCAGUAGUCAGGUUCCAAUACACUGAUGCUUUCUCUGUUAAAAUCUUGACACACAUUAUGAAUCUCAAUAGCUUAAUCGAUUCUAAGCUCAUCAGAAGUAUUUGUUCAGAAUUUGGAUCAUCAGUCGCAUAUGCUUAUACCCGAACCCGCUAUAACUUGGUAUUCUUGUGCCAGAUUUUUGCCAUUCGGUAAUAGUUAUAAUUGCAUACUUCGAUCUGGGAGUAAUGGUUGUACCAGGAUGCGUCUCAUGUCUUACUUUGUGACAGCAGUUGGUCGCAUUUCAGUGACCGUCAAUUGAACCUUGAACAAGCAACUAAAUAGCAGGUCUUCUUUGGUUGGAAGCACCACAUCUCAUCUGUGUUGCUGCAAAAGCUUUUCAUUAUUGGACCAAGCUUAUGGGAUAUGCAUUGCAGUCAGUAAGGCUGUACAUUGUGUGGAGGGACUGAAUGUGUAUCCUGUUCAGUGCACAUCGACGAAACUGGAUUCAAAAAAGUAAAAUAUAGAGGCUGGAGAGUUCAGCGACCAGCUUGGUAGCACUUGUGUGGCAUCUAUCAUCGAGCAGCACCCUUACUGCGACGUCCUACCCGUGGUCCUUAUGGCACCGUUUACAUAGCAUAGACAUGGAUGUGGUCGGCCUCGGCAUGUUCUCCUUUUGUGGCCAAGGACAGUGAUAAUGCAGAGAAUUUUAGAAUUGGGUUGCAGGCAUGAUGCUCAAACCUGCUCUUUAGGGGCUUGCAAAAUGAUCUUUCCUGUUAUGUAACAAAACAUUCUCACGUAGUACCGUAGGUCAUGGAGGAGAAGAGCGUGUAUGAUCAUGAUGAGGCCGGGCAUAUGGCUGCCGCUGUGCGGGACCACAAGAUCGUCAGCGAGAUCCGUGACCAUAUGCGGCUCCUUUCGUGCGAGAGGAAUUCUCCGGCAGCUAUGAGGACGACCAGAACACGUCCGCCUAGAAGCAGCAGAGAGAUGUAUUUGAGGAUUUUAUACUAUCUGUGUCUUUAACAGACUACUACUGAUCACAAACUAAAAAGGAAACGGAUUACUGGAUCGGAUGUGGAAGAGGAAAAGAAAUUGGAAUAAAAUCCAUACAACAACUCGACCAGCAGUGAAGUACCCAGCUUUCAGAGAUUGGACGCCCAGAUUAGUACACAGGAAAGUUGGACUACUUGAUCGUCUUGAAGGAGGAUGUCUACAUGUACUGAACCAGUAAAUCAUUCAUGGAUAUUUCUUUAUAAUGUCUGCAAUAACUCAUUCGUCGUUAUUUAAAAUUUUGAUUAGUCUGAUGGCCCUUUAUAAUGUUUGUGCAAUCUAUACGAAUAAUUCCAUGUGCAUAUGUAUUUUACCACCAAAAUCAGUAACUAUGAUUAUCCUUGGAAAUGCAAUAAUGUUGCAAAGCAGUUAAGAUCAUAUGAAAAAUUACAUAUCUUACCCUGCUUCUUGCA
Molecule: long non-coding RNA, 3053 nt
Organism: Triticum urartu
Lineage: Eukaryota; Viridiplantae; Streptophyta; Magnoliopsida; Poales; Poaceae
Source: RefSeq, a predicted model, not a curated record